This 440-nucleotide ribosomal RNA is filed under the name uncultured bacterium. RNAcentral describes it as "partial 16S ribosomal RNA". It matches the Rfam family "Bacterial small subunit ribosomal RNA", at positions 338 to 795 of the family's 1533-position model. The record is from RNAcentral.
CCUACGGGGGGCAGCAGUGGGGAAUAUUGCACAAUGGGGGAAACCCUGAUGCAGCGACGCCGCGUGAGUGAGGACGUACUUCGGUAUGUAAAGCCCUAUCAGCAGGGAAGAAAAUGACGGCACGUGACCAAGAAGCUCCGGCUAACUACGUGCCAGCAGCCGCGGUCAUACGUAGGGGGCAAGCGUUAUCCGGAUUUACUGGGUGUAAAGGGAGCGUAGACGGCUAAUCAAGUCAGACGUGAAAACCCAGGGAUCAACUUUGGGACUGCUGUUGAAACCGGGUGGCUAGAGUGUAGGAGAGGUAAGCGGAAUUCCUAGUGUAGCGGUGAAAUGCGUAGAUAUUAGGAAGAACGCCGAUGGCGAAGGCAGCUUACUGGACUGUAACUGACGUUGAGGCACGAAAGCGUGGGGAGCAAACAGGAUUAGAUACCCGAGUAGUC